This 108-nucleotide small nuclear RNA is filed under the name Phascolarctos cinereus (koala). The record is from RNAcentral. Lineage: Eukaryota; Metazoa; Chordata; Mammalia; Diprotodontia; Phascolarctidae.
UUCAUUCACAGCAGCAUCACAUAGAGUAAAAUUGGAACAAUGUAACAAAGACAAGCAUGGCCCUUGAUCAAGGAUGACACAUAAAUUCGUGACACAUCUUAUAUUUUU